RNAcentral lists this ribosomal RNA (229 nucleotides) under uncultured bacterium. RNAcentral describes it as "partial 16S ribosomal RNA". It matches the Rfam family "Bacterial small subunit ribosomal RNA", at positions 568 to 796 of the family's 1533-position model. The record is from RNAcentral.
UCCGUAGGCGGGCGUCUAAGUCAGUGGUGAAAUCUUACAGCUCAACUGUAAAAUUGCCAUUGAUACUGGAUGUCUUGAAUUAGUGUGAAGUGGUUAGAAUGUGUAGUGUAGCGGUGAAAUGCAUAGAUAUUACACAGAAUACCAAUUGCGAAGGCAGAUCACUAACACUAUAUUGACGCUGAGGGACGAAAGCGUGGGGAGCGAACAGGAUUAGAUACCCUGAUAGUCC